RNAcentral lists this unclassified non-coding RNA (330 nucleotides) under soil metagenome. RNAcentral's name for it is "partial contains 5.8S ribosomal RNA, internal transcribed spacer 2, and large subunit ribosomal RNA". The stretch from base 1 to 121 matches the Rfam family "5.8S ribosomal RNA", at positions 35 to 154 of the family's 154-position model. The record is from RNAcentral.
GAUGAAGAACGUAGCGAAAUGCGAUAAGUAAUGCGAAUUGCAGAAUUUCCGUGAGUCAUCGAAUCUUUGAACGCACAUUGCGCCCACUGGUAUUCCGGUGGGCAUGCCUGUUCGAGCGUCAUUUCACCACUCAAGCCUGGCUUGGUGUUGGGCGACGUCCCCUUUGGGGACGCGCCUCGAAACGCUCGGCGGCGUGGCACCGGCUUUAAGCGUAGCAGAAUCUUUCGCUUUGGAAGUCGGGGCCCCGUCUGCCGGAAGACCUACUCGCAAGGUUGACCUCGGAUCAGGCAGGGAUACCCGCUGAACUUAAGCAUAUCAAUAAGCGGAGGA